CGGCGGACGGGUGAGUAAUGCCUAGGAAUCUGCCUGGUAUGGGGGACAACGUUUCGAAAGGAACGCUAAUACCGCAUACGUCCUACGGGAGAAAGCAGGGGACCUUCGGGCCUUGCGCUAUCAGAUGAGCCUAGGUCGGAUUAGCUAGUUGGUGAGGUAAUGGCUCACCAAGGCGACGAUCCGUAACUGGUCUGAGAGGAUGAUCAGUCACACUGGAACUGAGACACGGUCCAGACUCCUACGGGAGGCAGCAGGC
RNAcentral lists this ribosomal RNA (256 nucleotides) under uncultured Pseudomonas sp. RNAcentral's name for it is "partial 16S ribosomal RNA". It matches the Rfam family "Bacterial small subunit ribosomal RNA", at positions 96 to 354 of the family's 1533-position model. Lineage: Bacteria; Pseudomonadati; Pseudomonadota; Gammaproteobacteria; Pseudomonadales; Pseudomonadaceae. The record is from RNAcentral.